UAGACGAGUCAUUUCAGCAACAUACCAGCUACCUUGCUAGAAGUGGAAAUGCUGCCACCUUCCCUUUCAUGAAACAAAGAGAAGCACUAGAAGAGGUGGGGAACGACAGAGAGGCAAACAAAGCUCUGUGAAGCAGGACUAUCAAAGAGAAAACAGCCUUUGAGGCAGACAAAGAAAAGUAAGACACAGCAGUAACUCUGUGUGCGUGUGUGAGACAGCCACAAAUUAAAAAAAAACAAAGAAAACAAACAAAGGGAGCAACAAGAAGCCUGGAAGAGGGGAAGAGAUGAGAAGACUCAAAGCGACUGAGGAGUCAGAGCAGCGUGAAAGAGGGCAGAAGAGCGCCGAAUGAAAUUUGUUAUCGUCUACUUUCCCCCCCUCACGUGCAGUUUGUCAUCAGUGACAGUGGAAUUAUCCCUCUCAACUAUAAUCUCAACCUCCACUGCUAAUCUCAGGCUCGCCCGAGCACCACUCCUCCUCUGGAUGACGUCCCCAUAAGCAAAUAAGCACGCAGCCUAAAGCAAAGGCACUCAGCUGGCAGCUCCGUCAGGGGAAAGAAGAGAAUGAUACGUUCCCAACCGACUCCUAAUUGCCAACUGGUUUUGCGAUUUCUGACAGUUUAGGCUCGGCCAAGUUUCACAAAAAAACAAAAACUAAACAACAAACAAAGAAACAACAAGAAGUUUCUGAUCAGCAGUGCAGGUUUACAGAUCCAGUGGGUGGAGUUGAUCCCUGAUCUGAUCUGUCACCAGCUCGGCCACUGAGAACAUAACCAACAAAGAAAGCUGUGAAACCUGGCUAAGGAUGGAUGCCAGAGAACAGACGCUGAACAUCCUUGACAGAAUCUGGGUCAAGCUUCAAGGUCUGCCCAACGCCAACCCCAUAGAGCUGGGAGCUUUCUUCGUCCUGCUAACUUUUAUUCUUGUAGUCCUACUCAUCACAGUGGUGACCUGCGCGAGCUUUUGCUGCGGCUGCUGCAGCUGCUGCUGUCGCAAGAGGAAACUAAAGGGUUCCGACCUUUGAGCAAAAACAGACACAACUGCAAGCUCUCCACACAGCGAGUCCUGAUCGUGUUUUAGAAACACACACACACACACACACACACACAAGAAUUGUACAGGCUGCAUGCUGUGCUGUGCAGCACUAAAGAACCUCAGCCCUUGGACAACAAAACACCUGCCAAACACAGUGAAGGAUGUCCUGCAAUGCUGCCAAACACACCUGCUCAAGUCAACAGGCUUUCAGGAGAGUCUACAUUCCUUGGAGCAUCACGGCACUCGACAGGGCAACAACGAUCCCUGAGGACAGGGCAGGGCCAACUCCAGCUGUGUGUGAAUCAGGCAGAAACGUCUCGGACCAUGCAAGACUGAACAUGUGUAUGAAACUAACUUUAGGCAAACAGUGAGAAAUGACUGGGAAAGCCCAAUUGGAUUUUUUUUUCCUCAGAGCUUUCUAAACAUAACGAUGUGUCAUUCUAAAGGAAUGAGAACUGGCAGUCAGACCUCCGAGUUAGGCAAGAGCCUCAAGCAGGAAGCAGCUUUCAAAGGAUGGUAAGAGAGAAAGUCUGCCCUCUGCUGUCCAGAAACAGAAAUGCACUCUUUAUCUAAAACUGCAUGUUACAUACUGUGGAACAGGUGAAGGCGUUAUGUUAGGAUGUAAUGCUUUAAGCCUGCACUUAUUGUCUGUUAUGCUUUGAUCUGUAUGUAAAUAAUAAUAAAAAUAAUAAUAAUAAUAAUAA
Long non-coding RNA from Pelmatolapia mariae (spotted tilapia), 1738 nucleotides. RefSeq lists it as uncharacterized. The record is from RefSeq and is a predicted model, not a curated record. The transcript is spliced from 4 exons. NCBI's taxonomy places the organism in Eukaryota, Metazoa, Chordata, Actinopteri, Cichliformes, Cichlidae.